ACGCUCGACACCUACGGGAGGCAGCAGUGAGGGAUAUUGGUCAAUGGGGGAAACCCUGAACCAGCAACGCCGCGUGAGGGAUGACGGUCUUCGGAUUGUAAACCUCUGUCCUCUGUGAAGAUAAUGACGGUAGCAGAGGAGGAAGCUCCGGCUAACUACGUGCCAGCAGCCGAGGUAAUCUGAGGCGGGCGUGGACGAAGGC
RNAcentral lists this ribosomal RNA (202 nucleotides) under uncultured bacterium. RNAcentral describes it as "partial 16S ribosomal RNA". It matches the Rfam family "Bacterial small subunit ribosomal RNA", at positions 328 to 538 of the family's 1533-position model. The record is from RNAcentral.